UACGUAGGGUGCGAGCGUUAAUCGGAAUUACUGGGCGUAAAGCGUGCGCAGGCGGUUUUGUAAGCCAGAUGUGAAAGCCCCGGGCUUAACCUGGGAAUGGCAUUUGGGACUGCAAGGCUGGAGUGUGGCAGAGGAGACUGGAAUUCCUGGUGUAGCAGUGAAAUGCGUAGAUAUCGGGAGGAACACCUGUGGCGAAGGCGGCCCCCUGGUUGGAUACUGACGCUGAUACGCGAAAGCGUGGGGAGCAAACAGG
This 253-nucleotide ribosomal RNA is filed under the name uncultured bacterium. Its description in RNAcentral is "partial 16S ribosomal RNA". It matches the Rfam family "Bacterial small subunit ribosomal RNA", at positions 524 to 776 of the family's 1533-position model. The record is from RNAcentral.